GGGAAUCUGGUCCAAUGGUAGGACACUGCGGUCCUGGGGGUUGUGUCCCAGGAGGCUGGCGAGCAGCAGCGCCGCAGAGAUCCGGGUUCGAUUCGCGGGAUUUCCA
This is a non-coding RNA of Oleoguttula mirabilis, 106 nucleotides long. NCBI's taxonomy places the organism in Eukaryota, Fungi, Ascomycota, Dothideomycetes, Mycosphaerellales, Teratosphaeriaceae. The record is from the annotation of a GenBank genome assembly.